Molecule: small nuclear RNA, 107 nt
Filed under: Jaculus jaculus (lesser Egyptian jerboa)
Lineage: Eukaryota; Metazoa; Chordata; Mammalia; Rodentia; Dipodidae
Source: RNAcentral
GUGCUUGCUUCAGCAGCACAUAUACUAAAAUUGGGACAAUACAGAGAAAAUUAGCAUGGCACCUGGGCAAGAAUGAUACGCAAAUUCGUGAAGCGUUCCGUGUUUUU